Molecule: ribosomal RNA, 460 nt
Filed under: uncultured bacterium
Lineage: Bacteria
Description: partial 16S ribosomal RNA
Rfam family: Bacterial small subunit ribosomal RNA
Source: RNAcentral
CCUACGGGAGGCAGCAGUGAGGAAUAUUGGUCAAUGGGCGUAAGCCUGAACCAGCCAAGUCGCGUGAGGGAUGAAGGUUCUAUGGAUCGUAAACCUCUUUUAUAAGGGAAUAAAGUGAGGGACGUGUCCUGUUUUGUAUGUACUUUAUGAAUAAGGAUCGGCUAACUCCGUGCCAGCAGCCGCGGUAAUACGGAGGAUCCGCGCGUUAUCCGGAUUUAUUGGGUUUAAAGGGUGCGUAGGCGGCCUUUUAAGUCAGUGGUGAAAGUCUGUGGCUCAACCAUAGAAUUGCCGUUGAAACUGGGAGGCUUGAGUAUAUUUGAGGCAGGCGGAAUGCGUGGUGUAGCGGUGAAAUGCUUAGAUAUCACGCAGAACCCCGAUUGCGAAGGCAGCCUGCCAAGCCAUGACUGACACUGAUGCACGAAAGCGUGGGGAUCAAACAGGAUUAGAUACCCGUGUAGUC